Molecule: non-coding RNA, 112 nt
Organism: Acanthosepion pharaonis
Lineage: Eukaryota; Metazoa; Mollusca; Cephalopoda; Sepiida; Sepiidae
Source: the annotation of a GenBank genome assembly
ACAGCAAUAUCAUGUUGAAACACCGGUUCUUGUACGAUCACCGAAGUUAAGCAACGUCGAGCUUGGUGCGUAUCUAGACGAGUGUCCAUUUGGGAACACCUGGUGUUGCAAG